RNAcentral lists this ribosomal RNA (486 nucleotides) under uncultured bacterium. RNAcentral describes it as "partial 16S ribosomal RNA". It matches the Rfam family "Bacterial small subunit ribosomal RNA", at positions 30 to 507 of the family's 1533-position model. The record is from RNAcentral.
AUUGAACGCUGGCGGCAUGCCUUACACAUGCAAGUCGAACGGCAGCACGGGUGCUUGCACCUGGUGGCGAGUGGCGAACGGGUGAGUAAUACAUCGGAACAUGUCCUGUAGUGGGGGAUAGCCCGGCGAAAGCCGGAUUAAUACCGCAUACGAUCCACGGAUGAAAGCGGGGGCCCUUCGGGCCUCGCGCUAUAGGGUUGGCCGAUGGCUGAUUAGCUAGUUGGUGGGGUAAAGGCCUACCAAGGCGACGAUCAGUAGCUGGUCUGAGAGGACGACCAGCCACACUGGAACUGAGACACGGCCCAGACUCCUACGGGAGGCAGCAGUGGGGAAUUUUGGACAAUGGGCGAAAGCCUGAUCCAGCAAUGCCGCGUGUGUGAAGAAGGCCUUCGGGUUGUAAAGCACUUUUGUCCGGAAAGAAAUCCUGGACUCUAAUACAGUCGGGGGAUGACGGUACCGGAAGAAUAAGCACCGGCUAACUACGUG